CGAAAGCCUGACGGAGCAACGCCGCGUGAGGGACGAAGGCCUCUGGGCUGUAAACCUCUUUUCUCAAGGAAGAAGACCUGACGGUACUUGAGGAAUAAGCCACGGCUAAUUCCGUGCCAGCAGCCGCGGUAAUACGGAGGAUGCAAGCGUUAUCCGGAAUCAUUGGGCGUAAAGCGUCCGCAGGUGGUUAUUCAAGUCUGCUGUUAAAGACAGAAGCUCAACUUCUGAAAGGCAGUGGAAACUGGAGAGCUAGAGUACGGUAGGGGUUGAGGGAAUUCCCAGUGUAGCGGUGAAAUGCGUAGAUAUUGGGAAGAACACCAGUGGCGAAGGCGCUCAACUGGGCCGUAACUGACACUCAGGGACGAAAGCUAGGGGAGCG
RNAcentral lists this ribosomal RNA (379 nucleotides) under uncultured cyanobacterium. RNAcentral describes it as "bacterial SSU rRNA". It matches the Rfam family "Bacterial small subunit ribosomal RNA", at positions 376 to 770 of the family's 1533-position model. Lineage: Bacteria; Bacillati; Cyanobacteriota. The record is from RNAcentral.